GACAACUAGGAUGUUGGCUUAGAAGCAGCCAUCAUUUAAAGAGUGCGUAAUAGCUCACUAGUCGAGUGACACUGCGCCGAAAAUGUACCGGGGCUAAACAUAUUACCGAAGCUGUGGAUUGUCCUUUGGACAAUGGUAGGAGAGCGUUCUAAGGGCGUUGAAGCAUGAUCGUAAGGACAUGUGGAGCGCUUAGAAGUGAGAAUGCCGGUGUGAGUAGCGAAAGACGGGUGAGAAUCCCGUCCACCGAUUGACUAAGGUUUCCAGAGGAAGGCUCGUCCGCUCUGGGUUAGUCGGGUCCUAAGCUGAGGCCGACAGGCGUAGGCGAUGGAUAACAGGUUGAUAUUCCUGUACCACCUAUAAUCGUUUUAAUCGAUGGGGGGACGCAGUAGGAUAGGCGAAGCGUGCGAUUGGAUUGCACGUCUAAGCAGUAAGGCUGAGUAUUAGGCAAAUCCGGUACUCGUUAAGGCUGAGCUGUGAUGGGGAGAAGACAUUGAGUCUUCGAGUCGUUGAUUUCACACUGCCGAGAAAAGCCUCUAGAUAGAAAAUAGGUGCCCGUACCGCAAACCGACACAGGUAGUCAAGAUGAGAAUUCUAAGGUGAGCGAGCGAACUCUCGUUAAGGAACUCGGCAAAAUGACCCCGUAACUUCGGGAGAAGGGGUGCUCUUUAGGGUUAACGCCCAGAAGAGCCGCAGUGAAUAGGCCCAAGCGACUGUUUAUCAAAAACACAGGUCUCUGCUAAACCGUAAGGUGAUGUAUAGGGGCUGACGCCUGCCCGGUGCUGGAAGGUUAAGAGGAGUGGUUAGCUUCUGCGAAGCUACGAAUCGAAGCCCCAGUAAACGGCGGCCGUAACUAUAACGGUCCUAAGGUAGCGAAAUUCCUUGUCGGGUAAGUUCCGACCCGCACGAAAGGCGUAACGAUUUGGGCACUGUCUCAACGAGAGACUCGGUGAAAUCAUAGUACCUGUGAAGAUGCAGGUUACCCGCGACAGGACGGAAAGACCCCGUGGAGCUUUACUGUAGCCUGAUAUUGAAAUUCGGCACAGCUUGUACAGGAUAGGUAGGAGCCUUUGAAACGUGAGCGCUAGCUUACGUGGAGGCGCUGGUGGGAUACUACCCUAGCUGUGUUGGCUUUCUAACCCGCACCACUUA
This 1149-nucleotide ribosomal RNA is filed under the name Staphylococcus aureus. RNAcentral's name for it is "partial 23S ribosomal RNA". It matches the Rfam family "Bacterial large subunit ribosomal RNA", at positions 1088 to 2238 of the family's 2925-position model. The record is from RNAcentral. Lineage: Bacteria; Bacillati; Bacillota; Bacilli; Caryophanales; Staphylococcaceae.